GGGGAUGUAGCUCAGUGGCAGAGUGUUUGCCUACCAUGCAUGAGGUCCUGGGUUUGAUCCUCAGCACCACAA
Molecule: transfer RNA, 72 nt
Filed under: Ictidomys tridecemlineatus (thirteen-lined ground squirrel)
Lineage: Eukaryota; Metazoa; Chordata; Mammalia; Rodentia; Sciuridae
Description: Spermophilus tridecemlineatus (thirteen-lined ground squirrel) tRNA
Rfam family: tRNA
About the family: Transfer RNA (tRNA) molecules are approximately 80 nucleotides in length. Their secondary structure includes four short double-helical elements and three loops (D, anti-codon, and T loops).
Source: Rfam by way of RNAcentral